RNAcentral lists this ribosomal RNA (270 nucleotides) under uncultured bacterium. RNAcentral's name for it is "partial 16S ribosomal RNA". It matches the Rfam family "Bacterial small subunit ribosomal RNA", at positions 793 to 1055 of the family's 1533-position model. The record is from RNAcentral.
GUCCUAGCCUUAAACGAUGAAUGCUUGGUGUCUGGGGUUAUAUAGUCCCCGGGUGCCGUCGCUAACGCUUUAAGCAUUCCGCCUGGGGAGUACGGUCGCAAGACUGAAACUCAAAGGAAUUGACGGGGACCCGCACAAGCGGUGGAGCAUGUGGUUUAAUUCGACGCAACGCGAAGAACCUUACCUGGGCUAGAAAUGCCUCUGACAACCCUAGAGAUAGGGCCUCCUAGGGAAACCUAGGCAGAGUGCAAGGUGCUGCAUGGCUGUCGU